This 292-nucleotide ribosomal RNA is filed under the name uncultured bacterium. RNAcentral's name for it is "partial 16S ribosomal RNA". It matches the Rfam family "Bacterial small subunit ribosomal RNA", at positions 505 to 796 of the family's 1533-position model. The record is from RNAcentral.
GUGUCAGCCGCCGCGGUAAUACGUAGGUGGCGAGCGUUGUCCGGAUUUACUGGGCGUAAAGCGCGCGCAGGCGGACUGAUCAGUCUGGGGUGAAAUCUCACGGCUCAACUGUGAGCGGUCCCUGGAUACUGUCAGUCUUGAGAUGUCUAGAGGAGAGCGGAAUUCCCGGUGUAGUGGUGGAAUGCGUAGAUAUCGGGAAGAACACCAGUGGCGAAAGCGGCUCUCUGGGGACCAUCUGACGCUGAGGCGCGAAAGCGUGGGGAGCGAACCGGAUUAGAAACCCUCGUAGUCC